UACGUAGGGUCCGAGCGUUGUCCGGAAUUAUUGGGCGUAAAGGGCUCGUAGGCGGUCUGUUGCGUCGGGAGUGAAAACUUACAGCUUAACUGUGAGCGUGCUUUCGAUACGGGCAGACUUGAGGCAUUCAGGGGAGAACGGAAUUCCUGGUGUAGCGGUGAAAUGCGUAGAUAUCGGAAGGAACACCAGUGGCGAAAGCGGCUUCCUGGUCCAGCACCGACGUUCAGGCACGAAAGCGUGGGGAGCAAACAGG
Molecule: ribosomal RNA, 253 nt
Filed under: uncultured bacterium
Lineage: Bacteria
Description: partial 16S ribosomal RNA
Rfam family: Bacterial small subunit ribosomal RNA
Source: RNAcentral